Molecule: long non-coding RNA, 4574 nt
Filed under: Homo sapiens (human)
Lineage: Eukaryota; Metazoa; Chordata; Mammalia; Primates; Hominidae
Description: HSALNT0279768
Source: RNAcentral
CCCGAGUUCAGAUGAUUUUCCUGCCUCAACCUCCCGAGUAGCUGGGAUUACAGGCACACACCACCACUCCCGGCUAAUUUUUGUAUUUUUAGUAGAGAUGGGGUUUCACCAUGUUGGCCAGGCUGGUCUUGAACUCCUGACUUCAAAUGAUCCACCCACCUCGGCCUCCCAAAGUGCCUGGAUUACAGGCGUGAGCCACUGUGCCCGGCCUCUCAUUUUCUCUCUCAUUCUCUCUUUCUCUCUCUUAUUCUCUCUUUCAUUCUCUUUCUCUCUCCCACUCUGUUUCUCUCAUUCUCCCUCCCAGUCUCUCCGUCUCUCUUCUUUUGCAUAAUUCUGUCAUUCUCUUUCUCUCUCAUUCUCUCUCCCACAAUCUCUCUCUUUCUCUCCCUCUUCUUUCCCUCUCUCUUUUUGCAUGACUCUGUCAUUCUCUCUCAUUCUUUCUCCCACUCAGUUUUCUCUCUUUUUGCAUGACUCUGUCACUCUCUCUCUCUGUCAUUCUCUCGCUCUGUGUCUUUCUCCCUCCGCCUCCCCAGCCCCCACUAUUCUAGAGUCUUUUCUCUUCCCCCUUCACACACUGAAAUGUCACAACAAUGCGAGCCAUUUUCCUCCCAGUCUCAUGGAGACCCAGAAACUUAGAGGUUCUCCUAUAUUUGAGUAAAACAUUCUCAUUUCAGGCUGAGCGCGGUGGCUCACACCUGUAAUCCCAGCACUUUGAGAGGCCAAGCGGGGGCAGGUCUCUUGAGUCCAAAGUUUGAGACCAGCCUGGGCAACAUGGCAAAACCCUGUCUCUACUAAAAAUACAAAAAGAAUUUGCCUGAUGAGGGGCUGCAUACCCAUGGACCCAGCUACUCAGGGGGCUGAGGUGGGAGGAUCACUUGAGCCUGGGAGGUCAAGGCUGCAGUGAGACAUGAUUGCACCAUUGCACUCCAGCCUCGGCAACAGAGCAAGACCCUGUCUCAAGAAAAAGAGAAAAAAUAUCAUUCUCAUUUCAAGCCAUUUAUCCCCUCUUUUCUCACACAUAGAAGCAAGCUUGGUUUCAUUUCUCUAAUUUUCGAUGUAGCAUGUUUAAGCAGUAGGAGAGAUACCUGGACCUCUAGAUGCUAAUUAACAUUGGCAUUGAUGAGACACGUCUGCCUACUUAAUGAACACGUUCUGAUCGCUCCUGUUUUGAGGCAGUAUGCUGAGAGUCAGAAAUAAAAAGGCUGAGGGAAACAUUAUAUUCUCCUUUCCAGAUGAUAUAGUCUAAUGGGAAAUGCAGGUUUAUGAACAAAUAACCAGGACUUACUGUUAGACAUAGUACAUAGCACAUAGCAAAUUUAACAAAAUAGUUUAUCUUUGCUGUGUGUUUGUGUGUGUGUGUGUGUGUGUGUGUGCACGCGCGCAUGGGUGUCUGUCUCUCUUUUUCCCCCUCAGCAGACAAAAGACGAGGAUGACCUUUAGAAGGCUUGGAGGCAGAUGGAUGCUGCGGUGUGAAUGUGUGUGACCCCCAAAAUUCCUAUGUUGAAAUGCUAACCCCCAAAGUCAUGAGGUUAGGAGGUGGGACCUUUGGGAGGUGCUGAUGUCAUGAGGGUGGGGCCUCAUGAAUGGGAUCAGUGCCCUUAGAAAAGGGACCCCAGAAAGCUCCCUCACCCUUUCCACCAUGUGAGGACACAGUGAGAAGGUGCCAUCUAUGAACCAGGAAGCCCUCACCAGACACUGAAUCUGCCACACCUUGCUCCUGGACCUCCAGCCUCCAGAACCAUGAGCAAUAAACAUCUGUUGUCUACAAGCCUCCCAGCCCAAAUGGACUAGGACUCUAAGCUAGCAGUAACUGUCAUGGCAGGCAGGACGGAGAUGGAGGCAAUGAACUCAUGGCAAUACACAGGACAACCCAACAAGAAGUCCCAGAAAUCUUAACCAUCUCAGGAAUGGGAGACAGCAGGUGGCUCUCAAGGUGCAGACACAGGCGGGGCUGGAGACAGGAGCUUUGCACAGCAGUGCUUGUCAGAAGAAUUCUCCUCCUACUCCUUGCAGCCAGAUGAACACAUCUCGACAACUUGGACAAACUUACUUGUAAUUUUAACCAGUGAUGAAUAAGCAAAGAUCUAGAUUCAUGGACGCCGGAGAGAGCUGAGAGUAAAGUUCUGAAAUUCUGAUUGACUUCUUGACGCAAUCACAUGACAUCAAAAUUGCUGAAAAAGUCCCAUCACUACAGUGAAAGUAUCCAUGCACUGGAGAGCUGGAAGCAAGAGCGAGAUGCCCCCAGAUCCUAAACAGGGAAUCCAGCCAUUUGCUGAAGACAAAAACAGGCACGUGGAAAUGAGUCCCUUUGACCCUGUACUCAAAGUAUCUCCAACCACAUGGGUAAAAGACCAAACAUGGCACAAACAGUCCCAUGUGGGAAGACCGCCCCAAGGGGCAGAAGUCACCAGGCCUGCAUUUUUGCACGUGGUUUAGACUAUUCUCUGACUGUUCCCCCUGCAUCCCAGGCUCUUCUGCGCAGAGGAGGGGGUGCAUGGCCUGUGCUGGCUUGGAGGAGGAGGGGGCUGGGGCAGAGAGCCCUGGGGAAGGGCUAUAGGCAGAGAACAUCAACUCAAAGGUGGUAGGUACCCAGGUCUGCUCUCCCCGAGGGAGAGAAGUGGGAGGGUCUUGCCAGCCUGAGAACACACCGGCUUUGUCUUUUUGGCAGAACAAAGACUUCUUUCGGAGAAGACUGACUGAGUGGCCUAAUUCCUUCUCAUCUGUGUGUGCAGCUGGCCCUCAAUAUCCUCAGGGAGUUGGUUCUCGGACUUCCACUGAUAUCAAAAUCCAAGGAUGCUCAAGCCCCUUGUAGCAAACGAUGCAGUAUCUGCAUAUCACCCAGGCAUAUCCUCCCAUACACUUUAAGCCAUCUCUACUUAUAAUACCUAAUACAGUGUAAUUGUUUUGUCAAUUGUUGAGACACAGUAUCAUUUUUCUGUUUGUUUAUUUAGAGACAGGGUCUCACUGUCACCCAGGCUGGAGUGCAGUGACACCAUCAUAGCUCACUGCAGCCUCCAACUCGUGGACUCAAAUGAUCCUCCCCACUCAGCCUCCUGAGUAGCUGGGACUACAGCCACACAUCACUACUUGUAGCUAAUUUUUUUAAAUUUAAUUUUUGUACAGACAGGGUCUCACUAUGUUCUCAUGCCUCAGCUUCCCAAGCACCUGGGAUUGCAGGUGUGUGCCACCAUGCCUGGCUAAUUUUUUUUGUGCGUGUAUAUUUUUAGUAGAGAUGGGGUUUUGCUAUGUUGGCCAGGCUGGCCUCGAACUCAUAACCUCAAGUGAUCUGCCCACCCCGGCCUCCCAAAGAGCUGGGAUUACAGGCAUGAGCCACCCCGCCUGGCCAACUUCAGGAUUUUAAAGAAUAGCAUCAUGGAUUUCUACUUCCCCUUGACACAGCCCUACAUUCACUUCUCAUCCUCAACUCUCCAGCCCUCCGCUCCGUGAAGGCCAAUCCUGGUGAUCUGCUGGGACUGAAGCCUUUUCCCAUCACAUGGCUGAGAUGACCUAGAAUGUAAAAUUGCCAAACGUGCCCUCAGCCAUCUCCAUGGGAUCUGCAGCUUGCCCGAUAGCUGGCCUCCAGCAACUCCAUGGAGGACCUGGGACUCCAGUUCCCACUAUAUUCUGAAUCUCUGCUGUAUGCAGUGGUGCACGCCUGUAAUCCCAGCACUUUGGGAGGCUGAGGCAGGGGGAUUGCUUGAGCACAGGUAUUCGAGGCUGCAGUGAGCUGUGAUCGCAUCACUGCACUCCAGCCUGGGAGACAGAGGGAGACCCUAUUUCAAAAAAAAAAAAUCUGAGUCUGACUCUUUUGUGGAAAAUGAACUCUUAUCAUCCUUUGCCUUUUUAACUUCCUCAUGUCUUGUGAGUAGUUUGUCUCUGCAACUGUCUUCCUUAAUAUCUGUCCUUAGCAUCACUCACAAAGACACCCGCAAAUGCCCUCUCUCCUUUCUACACCUCUAACUUUCACAAGCAGUUCCACCUGGAGGAAGCCCCAUCUCCAGUUCUACAAAUGAUUCAAACUCUCUGCCUUUUGUGCAAAUGAGCUGUAUGCAUUUCUCACGGCUGCCUUCACCAAGUACCACAGGCUGGGUGAGCUCCACCUCAGAAACUUACUGUUCUUACAGUUCUGGAGGCCAGAAGAAGUCUGAGAUCAAAGUGUCGGUGGGGUUGGUUCCUUCUGAAGGUGUGGCCCAGCACAGUAAGGCCAAACAUCUACACCAAGGUUUGCAGCGUGAGAAAGGAGGGCAUGUAUUUGUAGGGUACCAAGCAAGGAGAAUCAUGCAGCUCAUGCUUAAGACCUGACCUCCUAGCUGGGCAAGGCAGCUCAUGCCUGUAAUUCCAGCACUUUGGGAGGCCAAGGUGGGUGGAUCACUUGAGCCGAGGAGUUUAAGACUAGCCUGGGCAAAAUACUAAGACCCUGUCUCUACAAAUCAUUAAAGAAUUAGCUGAGCGUGGUGGUACACUCCUGUAGUCCCAGGUCCUCAGUAGGGUGAAGCAAGAGGACCACUUGAGCCUGGGAGGUUGGGGCUGUGGUGAGCUGUGAUGGCACCACUGCACUCCAGCCUGGGCAAAAG